AUCUAAGGCCUUGAGCCUAUAAUAGAAAGAGUUAUUAAUAUUAAAGUGAUGAGCUGGCAGAAUUAUUUGCAUACUGGA
Long non-coding RNA from Octopus sinensis (East Asian common octopus), 78 nucleotides. RefSeq lists it as uncharacterized. The record is from RefSeq and is a predicted model, not a curated record. NCBI's taxonomy places the organism in Eukaryota, Metazoa, Mollusca, Cephalopoda, Octopoda, Octopodidae. The transcript is spliced from 3 exons.